GUUUGAUCCUGGCUCAGAACGAACGCUGGCGGCAGGCCUCAAACAUGCAAGUCUAGGGGGUGUAGCAAUACAUCACCGGCGGACGGGUGCGUAACGCGUGGGAAUAUACCUAUUGGUUCGGAACAACUGAGGGAAACUUCAGCUAAUACCGAAUGUGUCCUAACGGAGAAAGAUUUAUCGCCAAUAGAUUAGCCCGCGUUCGAUUAGCUAGUUGGUGGGGUAAUGGCUCACCAAGGCGACGAUCGAUAGCUGUUCUGAGAGGAAGAUCAGCCACACUGGGACUGAGACACGGCCCAGACUCCUACGGGAGGCAGCAGUUGGGAAUCUUGGACAAUGGGGGAAACCCUGAUCCAGCCAUGCCGCGUGAGUGAUGAAGGCCCUAGGGUUGUAAAGCUCUUUUGUGCGGGAAGAUAAUGACGGUACCGCAAGAAUAAGCCCCGGCUAACUUCGUGCCAGCAGCCGCGGUAAUAA
RNAcentral lists this ribosomal RNA (471 nucleotides) under uncultured bacterium. RNAcentral's name for it is "bacterial SSU rRNA". It matches the Rfam family "Bacterial small subunit ribosomal RNA", at positions 11 to 526 of the family's 1533-position model. The record is from RNAcentral.